This 93-nucleotide transfer RNA is filed under the name Candidatus Omnitrophota bacterium. RNAcentral's name for it is "Candidatus Omnitrophica bacterium tRNA-Ser". It matches the Rfam family "tRNA". Rfam says of the family: Transfer RNA (tRNA) molecules are approximately 80 nucleotides in length. Their secondary structure includes four short double-helical elements and three loops (D, anti-codon, and T loops). Lineage: Bacteria; Pseudomonadati; Candidatus Omnitrophota. The record is from RNAcentral.
GGUGGGGUGCGGGAGUCCGGUUUAUCCGACCUGUCUUGAAAACAGGCGUCCAUCUUAGAUGGGCCGUGAGUUCGAAUCUCACCCCCACCGCCA